UGCCUUUAGAUUAAUUAUUAAAGGUUCAUCCUGCCCAGUGAUUUUUUUCUUCAACGGCCGCGGUACCCUGACCGUGCAAAGGUAGCAUAAUCAUUUGCCUUUUAAUUGAAGGCUAGAAUGAAUGGACAAACAAAGUUAAACCUGUCUCUUUUUUUACUUUAUAAAUUAAAUUUCAGGUGAAGAUGCCUGAAUUUCACUAAAAGACAAGAAGACCCCGUAGAGUUUUAAUCCAAACCUAUCUUCUUUAUUUCUACGAUUUUGGUUGGGGCGACCAAGGAUUAAAUAAAACAUCCUUUAUUUUUUCGAUUUAUUUAUCUUUCUUUUGACCCUAAAUUUUAGAGUUCCAGAAUAAACUACCUCGGGGAUAACAGGCUUAUCUUCCUUGAGAGCUCAAAUUGAUAGGAAGGUCUGGCACCUCGAUGUUGGCUUAGAAUACCUUAAAAAUGCAAAAAUUUUUAUAAGUCAGUUUGUUCAACUGUUAAAAUUCU
This 488-nucleotide ribosomal RNA is filed under the name Paralepidonotus ampulliferus. RNAcentral describes it as "partial 16S ribosomal RNA". It matches the Rfam family "Bacterial large subunit ribosomal RNA", at positions 1829 to 2597 of the family's 2925-position model. Lineage: Eukaryota; Metazoa; Annelida; Polychaeta; Phyllodocida; Polynoidae. The record is from RNAcentral.